CCUAAGGGUGGCAGCAGUGAGGAAUAUUGGUCAAUGGCCGGAAGGCUGAACCAGCCAAGCCGCGUGAAGGACGAAGGUGCCAAGCAUUGUAAACUUCUUUUGUCAAGGGACAAACUCAGGCUCGAGAGCCUGACCGAGGGUACUUUAAGAAAAAGCAUCGGCUAACUCCGUGCCAGCAGCCGCGGUAAUCCGGAGGAUGCGAGCGUUAUCCGGUUUUAUUGGUUUUAAAGGGUGCGUCGGCGGACUGUUAAGUCAGCGGUAAAAGCCCGGGGCUCAACCCCGGCGAGCCGUUGAAACUGGCGGGCUUGAGAUGUCGAGAGGUAGGCGGAAUGCGCAGUGUAGCGGUGAAAUGCUUAGAUAUUGCGCAGAACUCCGAUUGCGAAGGCAGCAUACCGGCGGCGAUCUGACGCUGAGGCACGAAAGCGUGGGUAUCGAACAGGAUUAGAUACCCGAGUAGUC
This 459-nucleotide ribosomal RNA is filed under the name uncultured bacterium. RNAcentral describes it as "partial 16S ribosomal RNA". It matches the Rfam family "Bacterial small subunit ribosomal RNA", at positions 338 to 795 of the family's 1533-position model. The record is from RNAcentral.